CUGCGAGGUGGGCUGGCCCGGCCCCGCCCGGCCCAGAGUCCCCCAGCCGGCUCUCCUGCCUCAGGCCGGACUAGAACUCGCCGCCGGCCCCCCGUUUCCUCAGCAGUCGCUCGUUCGCUGCGCUGGACUGAGGGCGCCCGGAUCCUGGCCGCGCUCCUCACGUUGCGCUUCUCCCCUCAGGCCGAGGCUUCCUUCUAGCCCGCCCGAGACGCUGCCGCAGAAGAUGGGAAAGAGGGACCCGACUUUGCCGCCCGGCCUGCGGCACCGCGUCUGCCCGAGGCCGCCAGGUGUAAUGUCUCCUGCUGGAUGAUGUAAGCUCAAUAUGUAGAGAUUAAUGAAAGAAGCAGAUGGGAACAGAAGAGGACAGCUAUUGCAGCACAGGUGGGUUCAUGUCCCUCAGCUGAAAUGUAGCGGAAGGCAACGAAACCUGCUUUGUCACCAAGCUCUGAGUCGUGGAAAUGGUGCGUCCUCCCUGACAGAGAAAAGAAGAAAUGUAAACUCAGAGUACAGAGAGUUCCAGUUUCGUGUUUGCAUUACUCACACAUGCACAAGGAGUGUAGAGGUCAAUUUGGGAAUCUGCAGGCUGCCUUCACCCUGACUUGCUGGGCCCCUGCAUCUUCUGGAAAGAAAACGCUGCUUUCUGGUGACUGUUGCUGUUCCUGGGCUGUUAAAACAUUUUCCCGUUAUUAUGACAGCAAAAAACCAUCAAUCAGGCGUGGACACUAUCUGCACCCUUUGUGACAAGCAGCAUGAUGAGCAGGGGUGUCAAUUGUGCAAUGUACAUUUUUGCACAGGCAUAGAGAAUCCCUGCCAGUUUUCUGCUUAGCUGCUCAAAUGCUGCAGGGAGGCUAGAGGACAAAAGAGUGGUGCUUCUCUGUGUGGCAGUUACAAAAAAACACAUAUGCCUCCUGGUGACAACUGAGGAGUCUUGCAGAGUACUGGGAAUAAGAUCACAAACAAUAGGUUGAAAUGGGGAACCCAACAUUGGGGGUAUAUGUUGUUUAGUCUGACAGUGAAGCAUUUUGGAAGUUAAUGUAUUGAUAAUUAUGUCCAGUAUUAUUUUUCAAUGUAGAAUUAAUAAGAUAUAAUGCAGUCCGCUAACAAUUUGUGCUUCAUUCUAGUGUAGCAUAUUACAGUUAUUACUCUGGUUCUGAGCAGUUCCCUCUCUCCAGACCAAGGACCUGUCACAUAAAUGGUUGAGGAGAAUCUUUAAACACUAUCCAAAGCUCAGCAACCUAUGUAUGUGCUUUCUAAUUUUUUUUUUUUAAUCCUUACAUGGUCAUCAAAAUCUUGCAGUAUUUCAGCGCAUGCACCCACAAUAAUUUUAGCCAGUUUAAAAAGAUCCAAUAUAUUGUUCCAAUAUAUGAUUCCUUGCCACUAAGAAAAGUAUUUAAAAUAAAAUGAAAAAUCAUUGUAAAGGACUUUGAAAGUU
Non-coding RNA from Python bivittatus (Burmese python), 1432 nucleotides. NCBI's taxonomy places the organism in Eukaryota, Metazoa, Chordata, Lepidosauria, Squamata, Pythonidae. The record is from RefSeq and is a predicted model, not a curated record.